Molecule: microRNA precursor, 110 nt
Filed under: Mus spretus (western wild mouse)
Lineage: Eukaryota; Metazoa; Chordata; Mammalia; Rodentia; Muridae
Description: predicted gene, 56025 (ENSMSPG00010051792.1)
Source: RNAcentral
AGAAGUGGGCAUCUGCUGACAAGAGGGCCGAAGUCAGGGGCCAGGCGGUGGGCACUUUGCAUCUUAUCUUCGGAACAUAGAUCCUCCUUGACAGCCUUGGGUGUCAGGCU